GAAGCACGCCAGACCGCCGCUGGUGCGCGCUUGAAAAGGCCGCACUGGAGGAAAGUCCGGACUGCACAGGGCAGCGCAGCAGCCAACGGCUGUCCACCGCGAGGUGAGGAUCAGAGCAACAGAGACGAGUCACCUUGGGUGCCGCGCCGGAGGUGAAAACCGAAGGCACGAGCAUCCAGGGUGAGUGCAACGGGCAAUCUCUGCGCGCAGCAACACCAAGUAGGCACACGUUGACGGGGCCCCCCGAGUGUGCGGGUAGGUGGCAUCGAGCCGGCGGGGCGACCCCCGGCCCAGAUUGAUGGCGGUCACAUGCGGGCGACCGCAUGCACAGAAUCCGGCUUAUCGGCGGGCUUCACAC
Molecule: RNase P RNA, 358 nt
Filed under: Comamonas flocculans
Lineage: Bacteria; Pseudomonadati; Pseudomonadota; Betaproteobacteria; Burkholderiales; Comamonadaceae
Description: Bacterial RNase P class A
Rfam family: Bacterial RNase P class A
About the family: Ribonuclease P (RNase P) is a ubiquitous endoribonuclease, found in archaea, bacteria and eukarya as well as chloroplasts and mitochondria. Its best characterised activity is the generation of mature 5'-ends of tRNAs by cleaving the 5'-leader elements of precursor-tRNAs.
Source: Rfam by way of RNAcentral